GAACGCGCGUUCGGUUGC
Molecule: small nuclear RNA, 18 nt
Filed under: Arabidopsis thaliana (thale cress)
Lineage: Eukaryota; Viridiplantae; Streptophyta; Magnoliopsida; Brassicales; Brassicaceae
Description: snRNA_05542
Source: RNAcentral